UGCUAUACUGCAGUCGAACGCUUCUUUCCUCCCGAGUGCUUGCACUCAAUUGGAAAGAGGAGUGGCGGACGGGUGAGUAACACGUGGGUAACCUACCCAUCAGAGGGGGAUAACACUUGGAAACAGGUGCUAAUACCGCAUAACAGUUUAUGCCGCAUGGCAUAAGAGUGAAAGGCGCUUUCGGGUGUCGCUGAUGGAUGGACCCGCGGUGCAUUAGCUAGUUGGUGAGGUAACGGCUCACCAAGGCCACGAUGCAUAGCCGACCUGAGAGGGUGAUCGGCCACACUGGGACUGAGACACGGCCCAGACUCCUACGGGAGGCAGCAGUAGGGAAUCUUCGGCAAUGGACGAAAGUCUGACCGAGCAACGCCGCGUGAGUGAAGAAGGUUUUCGGAUCGUAAAACUCUGUUGUUAGAGAAGAACAAGGACGUUAGUAACUGAACGUCCCCUGACGGUAUCUAACCAGAAAGCCACGGCUAACUACGUGCCAGCAGCCGCGGUAAUACGUAGGUGGCAAGCGUUGUCCGGAUUUAUUGGGCGUAAAGCGAGCGCAGGCGGUUUCUUAAGUCUGAUGUGAAAGCCCCCGGCUCAACCGGGGAGGGUCAUUGGAAACUGGGAGACUUGAGUGCAGAAGAGGAGAGUGGAAUUCCAUGUGUAGCGGUGAAAUGCGUAGAUAUAUGGAGGAACACCAGUGGCGAAGGCGGCUCUCUGGUCUGUAACUGACGCUGAGGCUCGAAAGCGUGGGGAGCAAACAGGAUUAGAUACCCUGGUAGUCCACGCCGUAAACGAUGAGUGCUAAGUGUUGGAGGGUUUCCGCCCUUCAGUGCUGCAGCAAACGCAUUAAGCACUCCGCCUGGGGAGUACGACCGCAAGGUUGAAACUCAAAGGAAUUGACGGGGGCCCGCACAAGCGGUGGAGCAUGUG
This 924-nucleotide ribosomal RNA is filed under the name Enterococcus sp. H185. RNAcentral describes it as "bacterial SSU rRNA". It matches the Rfam family "Bacterial small subunit ribosomal RNA", at positions 45 to 943 of the family's 1533-position model. Lineage: Bacteria; Bacillati; Bacillota; Bacilli; Lactobacillales; Enterococcaceae. The record is from RNAcentral.